RNAcentral lists this ribosomal RNA (200 nucleotides) under uncultured bacterium. RNAcentral describes it as "partial 16S ribosomal RNA". It matches the Rfam family "Bacterial small subunit ribosomal RNA", at positions 8 to 222 of the family's 1533-position model. The record is from RNAcentral.
AGAGUUUGAUCCUGGCUCAGAAUCAACGCUGGCGGCGUGCCUAACACAUGCAAGUCGAACGAGAAAGUGGAGCAAUCCAUGAGUACAGUGGCGUACGGGUGAGUAACACGUGGGUGAUCUACCUCCGGGUGGGGAAUAACGCUGGGAAACCGGCGCUAAUACCGCAUAACCUUGAGAAAGGAAAGCAGCAAUGCGCCUGG